CAGUCGCCGCGGGAAUACGAAGGGGGCUAGCGUUGCUCGGAAUUACUGGGCGUAAAGGGAGCGUAGGCGGACAUUUAAGUCAGGGGUGAAAUCCCAGAGCUCAACUCUGGAACUGCCUUUGAUACUGGGUGUCUUGAGUGUGAUAGAGGUAUGUGGAACUCCGAGUGUAGAGGUGAAAUUCGUAGAUAUUCGGAAGAACACCAGUGGCGAAGGCGACAUACUGGAUCAUUACUGACGCUGAGGCUCGAAAGCGUGGGGAGCAAACAGGAUUAGAUACCCCCGUAGUCCCUGUCUCUUAUAC
RNAcentral lists this ribosomal RNA (301 nucleotides) under uncultured bacterium. RNAcentral's name for it is "partial 16S ribosomal RNA". It matches the Rfam family "Bacterial small subunit ribosomal RNA", at positions 509 to 807 of the family's 1533-position model. The record is from RNAcentral.